This 94-nucleotide ribosomal RNA is filed under the name Synura petersenii. RNAcentral's name for it is "partial 26S ribosomal RNA". It matches the Rfam family "Eukaryotic large subunit ribosomal RNA", at positions 1 to 94 of the family's 3401-position model. The record is from RNAcentral. Lineage: Eukaryota; Synurophyceae; Synurales; Mallomonadaceae.
CGGACCUCCAAUCAGUCAAGAUUACCCGCUGAAUUUAAGCAUAUUAUUAAGCGGAGGAAAAGAAACUAACCAGGAUUCCCCCAGUACGGCGAGG